RNAcentral lists this ribosomal RNA (489 nucleotides) under Triticum aestivum (bread wheat). RNAcentral describes it as "partial small subunit ribosomal RNA". Lineage: Eukaryota; Viridiplantae; Streptophyta; Magnoliopsida; Poales; Poaceae. The record is from RNAcentral.
AUGGCAAGAGGGACGGCAAAGAUCAACCGUUGCCAGCCGCUCCGGCCACACAAGCUCCUCCAUGAACUGCAGAGGAGGCACGCGGGUCACCGGAGAAAGAGAUCGAGGCGGCGGCGGUCUUCACCGGAGGCGGAGAAGAUGAAGUACUCCGGCGGCGCGACCGCAUCUGAAGGAGACGACGCGACCUGCAGGCGAGGCGAGCGACCGGGCGGCGGCUUGGCUUGGGGCCUCCCCGCGGCUGGCGAGCACGACAUACCCGUGCGGCCUGUGCGCCGGGGCGGGCGGCCGACGCGGCGGUGGCAGGGUGGCACAGGCGCGCGCCGCGACGCGCGCGGUGGCGUGGCUGCUGCUCACGGUCUACCUGCGGCUCGAGGAGGCCGCAGCAGGGAGAGGCAGUGGGUGCUGCUCGCGGCCAGCCGGCUACCCGCCGGUCGUAGGAGAGCUUCGCGUGGACAUUGGCGAGGUGUGGCUGCUGGCCACGGCGGAUAG